GUACGGUGCGAGCGUUAAUCGGAAUUACUGGGCGUAAAGCGUGCGCAGGCGGUUUUGUAAGCCAGAUGUGAAAUCCCCGGGCUUAACCUGGGAAUGGCAUUUGGGACUGCAAGGCUGGAGUGCGGCAGAGGAGACUGGAAUUCCUGGUGUAGCAGUGAAAUGCGUAGAUAUCAGGAGGAAUACCGAUGGCGAAGGCAGGUCUCUGGGCUGACACUGACGCUCAUGCACGAAAGCGUGGGGAGCAAACAGGAUUAGAUACCCUGGUAGUCCACGCCCUAAACGAUGUCGACUGGUUGUUGGGGGUUUGACACUCUCAGUAACGAAGCUAACGCGUGAAGUCGACCGCCUGGGGAGUACGGCCGCAAGGUUA
RNAcentral lists this ribosomal RNA (370 nucleotides) under uncultured bacterium. RNAcentral describes it as "bacterial SSU rRNA". It matches the Rfam family "Bacterial small subunit ribosomal RNA", at positions 527 to 896 of the family's 1533-position model. The record is from RNAcentral.